This 497-nucleotide ribosomal RNA is filed under the name uncultured bacterium. RNAcentral describes it as "partial 16S ribosomal RNA". It matches the Rfam family "Bacterial small subunit ribosomal RNA", at positions 28 to 507 of the family's 1533-position model. The record is from RNAcentral.
GAUGAACGCUGGCGGCGUGCCUAAUACAUGCAAGUCGAGCGAACAGACGAGGAGCUUGCUCCUCUGACGUUAGCGGCGGACGGGUGAGUAACACGUGGAUAAACUACCUAUAAGACUGGGAUAACUUCGGGAAACCGGAGCUAAUACCGGAUAAUAUAUUGAACCGCAUGGUUCAAUAGUGAAAGACGGUUUUGCUGUCACUUAUAGAUGGAUCCGCGCCGCAUUAGCUAGUUGGUAAGGUAACGGCUUACCAAGGCAACGAUGCGUAGCCGACCUGAGAGGGUGAUCGGCCACACUGGAACUGAGACACGGUCCAGACUCCUACGGGAGGCAGCAGUAGGGAAUCUUCCGCAAUGGGCGAAAGCUUGACGGAGCAACGCCGCGUGAGUGAUGAAGGUCUUCGGAUCGUAAAACUCUGUUAUUAGGGAAGAACAAAUGUGUAAGUAACUAUGCACGUCCUGACGGUACCUAAUCAGAAAGCCACGGCUAACUACGUG